UGGGGAAUAUUGCACAAUGGGCGAAAGCCUGAUGCAGCAACGCCGCGUGAGUGAUGAAGGUCUUCGGAUUGUAAAGCUCUGUCUUUUGGGACGAUAAUGACGGUACCAAAGGAGGAAGCCACGGCUAACUACGUGCCAGCAGCCGCGGUAAUACGUAGGUGGCGAGCGUUGUCCGGAUUUACUGGGCGUAAAGGGUGCGUAGGCGGAUGUUUAAGUGAGAUGUGAAAUACCCGGGCUUAACUUGGGUGCUGCAUUUCAAACUGGAUAUCUAGAGUGCAGGAGAGGAGAAUGGAAUUCCUAGUGUAGCGGUGAAAUGCGUAGAGAUUAGGAAGAACACCAGUGGCGAAGGCGAUUCUCUGGACUGUAACUGACGCUGAGGCACGAAAGCGUGGGUAGCAAACAGGAUUAGAUACCCUGGUAGUCCACGCCGUAAACGAUGAGUACUAGGUGUAGGAGGUAUCGACCCCUUCUNUGCCGCAGUA
RNAcentral lists this ribosomal RNA (482 nucleotides) under uncultured bacterium. RNAcentral describes it as "partial 16S ribosomal RNA". It matches the Rfam family "Bacterial small subunit ribosomal RNA", at positions 355 to 853 of the family's 1533-position model. The record is from RNAcentral.